This 430-nucleotide ribosomal RNA is filed under the name uncultured bacterium. RNAcentral describes it as "bacterial SSU rRNA". It matches the Rfam family "Bacterial small subunit ribosomal RNA", at positions 917 to 1345 of the family's 1533-position model. The record is from RNAcentral.
GGGCCCGCACAAGCGGUGGAGUAUGUGGUUUAAUUCGAUGCAACGCGAAGAACCUUACCAGCCCUUGACAUGUUCGUCGCGACUUUAAGAGAUUAAAGUUUUCGGUUCGGCCGGACGAAACACAGGUGCUGCAUGGCUGUCGUCAGCUCGUGUCGUGAGAUGUUGGGUUAAGUCCCGCAACGAGCGCAACCCUCACUUUUAGUUGCCAUCAUUAAGUUGGGCACUCUGAAAGAACUGCCAGUGAUAAGCUGGAGGAAGGUGGGGAUGACGUCAAGUCCUCAUGGCCCUUACGUGUUGGGCUACACACGUGCUACAAUGGUAUCUACAACAGGAAGCAAGACUGCGAAGUUAAGCAAAUCCUUAAAAGAUACCUCAGUUCGGAUUGCACUCUGCAACUCGAGUGCAUGAAGCUGGAAUUACUAGUAAUCGU